RNAcentral lists this transfer RNA (103 nucleotides) under Pseudomonas aeruginosa. RNAcentral's name for it is "tRNA-Ile". It matches the Rfam family "tRNA". From Rfam's summary of the family: Transfer RNA (tRNA) molecules are approximately 80 nucleotides in length. Their secondary structure includes four short double-helical elements and three loops (D, anti-codon, and T loops). Lineage: Bacteria; Pseudomonadati; Pseudomonadota; Gammaproteobacteria; Pseudomonadales; Pseudomonadaceae. The record is from RNAcentral. RNAcentral also lists the same sequence under 48 other names.
GCCCCUGUUGCUCAUGUUGGUCAGAGCGCCGGCCUUAUACCCCGGUGAGAGCACGCGCCAGAUAAGCGCGUACACGUCGGUUCGAUUCCGACCAGGGGCACCA